This 941-nucleotide long non-coding RNA is filed under the name Fukomys damarensis (Damara mole-rat). RNAcentral's name for it is "lncRNA (ENSFDAG00000033330.1)". Lineage: Eukaryota; Metazoa; Chordata; Mammalia; Rodentia; Bathyergidae. The record is from RNAcentral.
GGGGGCUCUCUGAAGACUGCUGUCUAAGUACCGUCCAAGGCCAGUCCCUUCCCAAGGGCACGAGAGACAUACUGUGGUAAAAAUGAGCACUUUUUAACCCAAAAAAUGAGUAGUUCACCUAUAACAACCAAAGACUUAACAGAAGGUAAUGAACUAGAACCACAGGGGUGAGAGACAAAAGCAACAAAACCAAAACCCAAAAAACCAGAACAACAUCGACAAAACAUCCCAAGACUGUGUAGUGAUUGUUGAGGGCGCAGAUCUUACUUCCUACCUAUCUGACUCCCCAGAGUCCACAAAAAUCUCACGCUUCUCCUGGAGCUCCCACCUGGAAACACAACGAUACCAAGGAGACGCCAGGCCUUUACUGGUUUUCUAACCAUAGGUUUGAAGUGAUGCUGAAGGAAGAGACCCGAACAUGAGCAACUAGGAGGCCUUGUGGGAGCCUCAGGGCCGCGUGUGAGGAAACACCGGAAGUGAGCAUGAGCAAGCUCUUUCAGGUGGGCGGCGCCAGAGGAGGGGCCCUGCUGGGCAGCCACGUUAGCCGGGAGCGUUCAGCUCAGGGUUUCCGGUGGGGGCUUCCUUUGGCCUCCAGGGCAUCCACUCGAAACUGAGGAGCCCUGGAGUUCUCCACCUGACAGACACACUUGGGCUCUAGUAUUAAAGCUAAAACCCUGAAAGCCACUAAGUGUUGUUUUGGGGCAAACCUCACACAAGUCUGGGACAAGGGAAAACUGCCAAGGUUUAUAUCAGGAGAAACGAGAAUGCCAGUGGGACCUCGUGCAGAAGCUUACCUCCCAAGUCGCACCGUGCCCAUCCCUUGUGGGCCGCCUACCACAGAUCAGUGUGGUGAUCUUGUGCACAGCCCUGAUGAAGACCACAUGCACUUGCUAGUGAAUUCUGCGGUGGGAAGGAAGGUUCUGCAGUCACCUCAGCCCUGA